RNAcentral lists this ribosomal RNA (465 nucleotides) under Vreelandella stevensii. Its description in RNAcentral is "partial 16S ribosomal RNA". It matches the Rfam family "Bacterial small subunit ribosomal RNA", at positions 338 to 795 of the family's 1533-position model. Lineage: Bacteria; Pseudomonadati; Pseudomonadota; Gammaproteobacteria; Oceanospirillales; Halomonadaceae. The record is from RNAcentral.
CCUACGGGCGGCAGCAGUGGGGAAUAUUGGACAAUGGGCGAAAGCCUGAUCCAGCCAUGCCGCGUGUGUGAAGAAGGCCUUCGGGUUGUAAAGCACUUUCAGUGGGGAAGAAAGCCUUGGGGCUAAUACCCUCGAGGAAGGACAUCACCCACAGAAGAAGCACCGGCUAACUCCGUGCCAGCAGCCGCGGUAAUACGGAGGGUGCGAGCGUUAAUCGGAAUUACUGGGCAUAAAGCGCGCGUAGGCGGUCUGAUAAGCCGGUUGUGAAAGCCCCGGGCUCAACCUGGGAACGGCAUCCGGAACUGUCAGGCUAGAGUGCAGGAGAGGAAGGUAGAAUUCCCGGUGUAGCGGUGAAAUGCGUAGAGAUCGGGAGGAAUACCAGUGGCGAAGGCGGCCUUCUGGACUGACACUGACGCUGAGGUGCGAAAGCGUGGGUAGCAAACAGGAUUAGAUACCCCAGUAGUC